RNAcentral lists this ribosomal RNA (426 nucleotides) under Triticum aestivum (bread wheat). RNAcentral describes it as "partial small subunit ribosomal RNA". Lineage: Eukaryota; Viridiplantae; Streptophyta; Magnoliopsida; Poales; Poaceae. The record is from RNAcentral.
AUGAACAUUUGGUACCUCAUAUAUCUUCACUCAUGCCACACUAAUUCACUAGUAGUGCAUACUGCACAUAGUUCACUCAAGUUUCUAAUCCACUCAGGUUGUCGUAAUCUUCCCUGCUUGAUAUUUUGUUUCUCAAGGAAACACAAAAGUUAUGUGUCUCGAUGCAUUGAUGGAAGAAGAGAGUUUAUAUAUAUUCCUUGGACUAGGCCACAACACACGCACGCUGCUGCAGUACAAGGUGGAUUAACCUCUGUAAAGAUGAAGAAUAAUGCUACCACACCCGCAGAAACACAGUUCCUGCCCUCAGAUUUUAUCUUGUUUAUUAAGUCUCCCAAGUCUUGUUUGCACCAUCGAAGAUCAUACCUAGGAUAUGACCUCAUGCCAGCUUCGGCUAGCAAACAAGCAUUCCACAAGCAGGUCCCAUAG